AUGGAUGAGGUCACAAGGGAUAUAGAAGGAGGUAUCCCAUGGUGUAUGCUCUUUGCGGAUGAUGUGUUGCUAGUUGACGAUAGUCGGACGGGGGUAAAUAGGAAGUUAGAGUUAUGGAGACAAAUCUUGGAAUCGAAAGGGUUUAGGCUUAGUAGAACUAAAAUCGAGUACAUGAUGUGCGGUUUCAGUACUACUAGGUGUGAGGAGGAGGAGGUUAACCUUGAUGGCCAGGUGGUACCUCAGAAGGACACCUUUCGGUAUUUGGGGUCAAUGCUGCAGGAGGAUGGGGGUAUUGAUGAAGAUGUGAACCAUCGAAUCAAAGCCGGAUGGAUGAAGUGGCGCCAAGCUUCUGGCAUUCUCUGUGACAAGAGAGUGCCACAAAAGCUAAAAGGCAAGUUCUACAGGACGGUGGUUCGACUGCAAUGUUGUAUGGCGCUGAGUGUUGGCCGACUAAAAGGCGGCAUGUUCAACAGUUAG
This 477-nucleotide ribosomal RNA is filed under the name Triticum aestivum (bread wheat). RNAcentral describes it as "partial small subunit ribosomal RNA". The record is from RNAcentral. Lineage: Eukaryota; Viridiplantae; Streptophyta; Magnoliopsida; Poales; Poaceae.